This 25377-nucleotide long non-coding RNA is filed under the name Gossypium barbadense (sea-island cotton). RNAcentral's name for it is "long non-coding RNA (GBAR_LNC021097)". Lineage: Eukaryota; Viridiplantae; Streptophyta; Magnoliopsida; Malvales; Malvaceae. The record is from RNAcentral.
AAUCAUUUGACAAUAAAUUUCCAAGCUUUGCAAGCGAUCCUAGGAGUGUGAGGCUUGGGCUAGCAUCUGAUGGAUUUAAUCCUUUCAAGAUCAUGAGCACCGCGUACAGUACUUGGCCAGUAGUGUGUGUUCCUUACAAUCUGCCUCCGUGGAUUUGCACAAUCUUCCAUUAUCUUAUCUAUGAUUAUCCCUGGAGAGAAAGGGCUCGGGAAUGAUAUCGACAUUUAUUUACAGCCACUUAUUGAAGAGUUAAAACAAUUAUGGGCUGGUGUCGAGACAUACGAUGUGCUGAGAAAUGAGAACUUUAAUUUACGUGCAGCUUUGAUGUGGACCAUUGAUGACUUCCCCGCUUAUGCCAAUUUAUUCGGUUGGAGUACCAAGGGUCGUUAUGCGUGUCCUUGUUGUGCUGCACAAACAUGUUCGCAAUGGUUGUACAAUGGGAAGAAGUUCACUUACUUGGGGCAUCGUUGGUGGUUACCGAAAAAUCAUAGAUUUAGAUUUCAGAGUUCUGUAUUUGACGGUACUGAAGAGUUCAGAGAAGCUCCUUCGCAGACCAGUGGCUCUGAAAUCUAGUUCAUGUUAGAAGAUAUGAAUUUCAUUUAUGGUAAGAUAAACCAACGCCAAACACGCAAAGAAAUAGAAGAUCUAAUGAUGACUUUGAUGAAAAGGACGAUCCUAAUGAGUCGGACUUGUUGAAAAAAAGAAGUAUUUUUUUGAGUUGCCUUAUUGGGGCAUCACCUUUUACGACACAAUCUUGAUGUUAUGCAUAUUGAGAAAAAUGUCUGCGAGAACAUUGUGGGUAAAAUUUUGAAUGUCGACGGGAAAUCAAAAGAAAAUCUUCAGAGUCAAGAUGAUUUAGUCCAAAUGGGAAUUCAGCCUGAUCUUCAUCCCAAUCCACUUCUGAAUGGGAAAUAUCGGUUGCCGCCUUCUAUUUUUUCAAUGUCGAAGACGGAAAAAGAAGUGUUCUACACGGUGUUGAAGGAUAUAAAGGUUCCAGAUGCGUAUGCAUCAAAUAUAUCUCAAUGUGUUAGUGUCAAAGAUCGAAGAUUAUAUUCGCUAAAAUCACAUGACUAUCACAUCUUAAUGCAAGAUUUACUGCCAGUUGCUCUACGAUGUUGUAUGUCCAAGAAGGUGACGUCUUGUAUAAUUGAACUAUCUAAUAUAAUGAAAGCCAUUUGUGGCAAAGUUUUGGAUGUUCAAGAACUUUAGAAGGUACAGGAUCGAGCCGUUUUGACUUUAUGCAACAUGGAGAAAAUCUUCCCACCUUCCUUCUUCACCAUUAUAGUUCACUUGAUAAUCCAUCUCCAGCAUGAAGCAAUUCUUGGUGGACCCGUUUUCUAUCGAUGGAUGUAUCCCAUAGAAAGGUGUUAAUUAAAAUUUUUAAAAUUUUCCUUCAUUCACCUCUAUGCCUUUAGUUACAACUUUUGAUAAUGUUGUAUAUCGUGUUUAGGUUCCUAUCCAAAUUAAAGUCUUACUGCAGCAACAAGCGUUAUCCAGAAGGAUCGAUUACUAAAGGCUACUUGGCAAAUGAAUGUAUGACCUUCUGCUCAAGAUAUUUGGAAGAUGUUGAAACAAGAUUGAACAGACCAAAUAGAAAUGAUGGACUCACGGACCAUAACUUCACCGAUACUUAUUUGUUCCAAAGUUUUGGAGAACCAAUCAGCAAAGUUGAAAAUGUAGAAUUAGAUCAUUUAUCGUGGGUACAAGCACAUCGAUAUGUUCUGUUUCACCACGAGUCAAUGGAACCUUUACGGAAGUAAGUUCUUCAAAUUUGAUAAAUAUUUAUCAAAUUAAAACUUGUUUAUCUUCUAACAAAGUGAACAUUUUUUUUAACAUAGUGAGUACAAACAAAUAUUGAGAUCUCGUUCGCGCUCCCGAAGAACACAACAUCGAGAUAUCAAUAAGUUGUUCACAGAAUCUUUUCAUGAAUGGUUAGGUCAAACGGUAUGCAGUUGGAGCUUCCGCUUAUAAAUAAUAAUGUUUUCUUAUAACAUUUUUAAUUACUCAGUUUACUUUCCAUUCAAUAGGUUUGGAGUGGGAAGAACGUAAACGACGAAGUUAAAUGGCUCUCCCGAGGUCCAAAUCGAGUGGUUAAAAGAUAUAGUGCGUUCCUCAUCAACGGAUUCAGAUUUCAUAAAAAAUAUCGCGAGAGGUUGGGGAGAAUGCAAAAUUGUGGAAUAGUUGUUAAUUCCUCAAUUACAAGUUAUGCUAGUACUAGGGACAAUAAUCCUGUCGAGGGAAAUGUGGAAUAUUUUGGACUUCUUACUGACAUAAUUGAGUUGGAUUACUACGACAAAUGGAAAGUUGUCUUAUUUUGAGGUGAUUGGGCCGAUGUUAAUACUGCUCGUGGAAUUAAGCAAGAUCAAUUUGGUUUUACAAUGGUGAACUUCGCUCGAUUGAUUCACACAGGACAACAACUGAUAGAUGAGCCGUAUGUAUUCUCAUCUCAAGUCAAACAAGUUUUUUACUCAAAAGAUCCAACUGAUGAGGUUGGUACGUUGUACUCCGUAACAUCCCUAGAGACUUGUUUGACAUGGGCAGUGGAAGUAGAGAUAACAUCGACGAUAGAUCAAAAACUUUGCCCUUUCCAGAACAAAACUUAAACGAUAAUAUCCCUAGUACUAGUACACAAUUUCAAUGGGUUCAUCAGGAUACGGAUGGAUAUAUUUACGAGUAAUGAUGUAGUAAGAUUUUACGAUUGUUUAAUUAGAUGUAAUAUCAUAAUUUAAAUCUUGGUCUUAUUAUAUAUUUCAACUAUUUUAUAUGUGCUGUUAUUGUUGUAAUUAGUUAUUAAGUUUUCAACUAUUUUAUGUGUAUUGCAGAUAAAAUGCCUAGAAGAAAAAUGCGAGUUCUAAGCAUUGUUCAAAAUGAUCCAAACUCGGCAGAAACAAAUAGUACUGAACAACAGAUAGUAAUUGGAUCUUUGAAUGUUCCGAUUACACCUGAGAAUCCUACAGAAGUUCAAAGUAAUUUUACAUUUAAUUUACAUGCUGUAAUUGUUUUAUUUUUCAAAUUCUUAUAUUAUAAUAUACCAUUUGCAGCUGAAAAUGGUAGGACGCGCAGAGAUCGAUGACGUACGCUACUUAGAGAUUUAUACGAGUUAGAUCCAGUCGAGCGUGUCAAGGUAUGCAGAAACAGUUUUGGUCAACCUGUUGGAUCAGAAGCUCGACUUUUAGCAGGAUACAUGGGAAUUUUAGCACGAAAUGCGAAUAUGUUGCCUAUCAACUACAAGUCAUGGCAUCAAAUGCCCGAUAACAACAAAAACCAAGCCCUCGAUAAUAUUAAGGUAAUAAAAUGUUAAUGUCAUCUGUAAUGCUUGGGAAAUAAUUUUAUUUAUAUUUACUUUAUUAACUUUUGUUUUUUGUAGGCGAGGUUUGCUUUAGAGGUCUCGGAUGCUUAUGUAAAGAAUGCAUUGGGAAAAAGAUGGAGAGACCAUAAAAGUACUUUGAAGAAAUAUUAUUAUAAGACAAAAACAACCCUCGAUGAGAAAUUGCAAAAUGUCCCGCCGGGUAUGCUGAGGUACCAAUGGGAAGAUGCAGUUAGAUUUUGGCAUUCGAAGAAAGGCGAGGUAUGACGUACUUCUAAACUAUUGUAAUUAUUUUGGUUUAUAGUAUUUACUAUUUACGUACUAAUAAUUUCAUAACGCAGGAUGGUGAACAAGUUGGAAAAAGCAGCAGGCAGAAAUAAAAAUUCACUCACACAGCCGGGUCGAGAAGUUUUGCAUGUGUAGUUGAGGCGGAGGUAUUUUUAAUUUUUUAAUAUUUUCAAAUAUGUAUAACUUUCCAUUAAAUAAUAUUUUUACUACUAUAUUGUAGGAACUGUCGUCCGGUCAAAAAGUUGGACGCCUUCAACUUUUUGAAAUUACACAUAGGAAGAAAGAUGGAUCUCCUAUGACUCUUGAAGCUGGUGAAAUUAUGGUACGUUUACUUAAUACGAUUUGACUUGUUUUAGUUAUUUAUAGUGUUUAUUUUCUAAUGGUUUAAUUCAUUGCUUGUAAUGCGACUAUUGUUAUGUUGCAUUUGUUUUUAUAAUAUAUAUUGCGUUCCUAACUAUGUGAUUUAUUUAUUAGGAAAAACUAAAGGAUAAAAAGGCGGAGUACGAAGCGAUUGCUUCUAGUGAUAGUUCUGUUCAUCUUGAAAAAAUUGAUAACCGGAUUAUUACUGAAGUUUUGGGUCCUGUAAGGUAUGGUCAGGUUCGAUUUCAAGGUUCUUUUGUUAGCCCAACCCAAUAUUUUGGAUCCAGCUCGCAACAAUACAUGGCUUCGGGGAGUCAGGCUCAAGCUGAAGUUCAGAGGUUAAAAGACCAGAUGGCUCAGAUGCAAGCGACCACAAUUGAAGUUCAAAGGAAAUAUGAAGAACUCCAGCUACAACUAAAAGUAGAGGCGGCAGUGAGAGAAGAAGAGGCUGCAGCGAGAGAAGCAGAGGUUCAAAAGAAAUAUGAAGAACUCUAGCUACAACUUAAAGCAGAUACGGCAUCGAGAGAAACAGAGCAGAGUAGAAAGUACGACGAACUCCAACAGCAGUUUCAGACUAUGAUGAAGAUGUUUCAGCAAUCGCAACUUCCGCCUUCAUAGUGUAUUGCGUAAAUAUUUUUAUCAUUUUAACUUUUAACAUUUUUGUAAAAGUAAUAUAAAUUCUAUUUUAUUUAUUGAUAUUAAUAUUAUUUUAUUCGUUUAAUUUGAAAUAUUUUAUAAAUUUAUUGCUUUUGGCUGGUUUAGAUUUGGUUGCUUUUGAUUUGUAGCUACAUGAGGGCUGAAAAAAUGUAAAAUUUUAUUUUACAAAAAUCCCAAAAUUAGUGGCGUUUUUAUAAAAGCGUUGCUAAAAGUCAUGUUUUAUAGCGACGUUUGUAGAAUAAAACGCCGCUAAAGAACAUUUUUUUAGCAGCGUUUGUGAAGAAAGCGCCGCUAAGCGGCGUUUUUUUUGCGUUUUUUUUAAGCGCCGCUAAAGAACAUGACCUUUAGCGGCGUUUAUUUUUGUAAACGCUGCAAACGUUAGCGACGUUGUCGUUAGCCGCAAAUACCUUUAGUGGCGCUAAAAAGCGCCGCUAAAGGCCUAAAAAAACGCUGCUAAAAACCUGUUUUGGUGUAGUGGCUUAGGCUAAUUUAAGUAUUUACGAGUAUAUUGGCUUGUGUAAUCAGGUGUAAUUUGAAACUAUUUGAUAUUUUAAGUUAGCUUUUUACUCCUAAAUUUGAUUUGAAGAUGUAUGACUUGAAUUUGUGUUUGAAUAGAUCUUGAUUUGGUUUUUAAUUUAUCUAAAACUCAUAGAUACCUAUAAUGAUAUUUGGGGAGGAUUUCAUGUGUUUUGGAGCCAAUUUAACUUCAGGGGACUCAUGUAUCAAAAUAUGGAUUGGUUGUAUCGAUACAACACAAGCCAAUACCAAAAAAGUUAAAGUAACAAGGGUUUGUAUCAAUACAUCUAUAGGAUGUACAGAUACAUCUCCUCUUGACACUAUGAAAACACUGCUUAGGCCAUUUUAAACCCUUGAAAACUUGUUUAAGGCCCCAAACACCUCUAACCAUUUACGAAUUGAACCUAAACGACAUUAGCAUGUUUCCUAAGUCCAGUAAUUAAUUUAAACUUGAAUCAUUAAUUUUUUCCUAAUUGUCUUAAAAUUUUAUUUCCUCAAAAUUUUAACUGCAAUAUUUUAAAAUUUUAUUUUGGUAACAUCUCUUAUCCGUACUAAUCGACAGGAUGGAUCUCUUAUCCGUACCAAUCGAUAGGAUGAAUAAGGGGUGUUAUAGAAUCUGCUACGUCUAUAUACUGCGUAAUACAAUCGGAGUGAUAGUGUAUAUUUCCUUCAGCAUGUCGGUGGGACCAUCGGCCAACUUGAUUCUAGCUUUGCAAAUAGUGAUCCCCUCCGAUGGUGUUUUAGCCAUUCAUGAACCACUACACCAAAACAGACUUUUAGCGGCAUAUUUUGUGGCGUUUGGACAGAAAACACCGCUAAAAAUCGAGCAUUAGCGGCGCAAAAAAUAAAACGCCGCAAAAUAUCUGGCAUUAGCGGCGCUUUAAGAAAAACGCCGUAAAAGAACAUAAGUAGCGGCGUUUUUGGUUAUGCGCUGCAAAAUCUCAAGACCAAAACGCAUCGUUUUUGUAUUGAUGUAUACAAUAAUUAGUGGCGAUUAUGAUAAAACGCCGCUAAAGCAAGUAAUAGCGGCGCAUUGUGGGAAGCGCCGCAAAAAUCUUAACGAAAACGCAUCGUUUUGGUAUCGAUGUAUAUUAGAAUUAGUGGCGCUUACAAAAAAAGCCAGUAAAAGAAGUAUUAGCGGCGUUUACUAAAAACGCCGCAAAAUAUGAUAACCAAAACGCAGAGUUUUGAUCUUGAUGUAUAUUAGAAUUAGUGGCGCUUAAUAGAAGUGCCAAAUGUUAACCAAAACGCAGCGGUUUGGUCUCGAUGUAUAAUACAAUUAGUGGCGUUAGUUAAAAACGCCGCUAAAGUAUAAAAUUAGCGGCGAUUUUUUAGAAUCGCCGCAAGAUAUGCACACCAAAACGCAGAGUUUGGUCUUGAGGUAUAUUAGGAUUAGUGGCGCUUACGGAAAAACGCCGCUAAAGAGUACUAUUAGCGGCGCGUUUGGAGAAGCGCCGCUAUAUUUCUUAACCAAAACUCAACGUUUUGGUCUUGAUGUAUAAUAUAAUUAGUGGCGCUUACAAUAAAACGCCGCUAAAUAUCAGUAUUAGCGGCGCUUUCAGUUAAGCGCCGCAAGGUAUACACACCAAAACGCAAAGUUUAGUAUUGAGGUAUAUUAGAAUUAGUGGCGCUUAUUGGAAAACGCCGCUAAAGUAUACUAUUAACGGCACUUUCUUAGAAGCGCCGCAAGAUAUAUUAACCGGAACGCUGCGUUUAAAUCUUGAUGUAUACUGGAAUUAGUGGCGUUCACGAGAAAUCGCCGCUAAAUCAUAUUAUUAGCGGCACUUUUUUAUAAGCGCCGCAAAAGACCUUUACCAAAACGCACAGUUUUGGUCUUAACCAUGCAUUAAUAUAGUGUAGGCUAUUAUAUAUUUAGUUGAUCGUAUUUGGGUUACGUUUAGGGUAUUAGGGAUCAUUAUAUAAUGUUUAUUAUUUUGGAUUAUAGUUUAGGGUUUACUAUGUAGGUAUAUUGUUUUUGGUUUAGGGUUUGAGAGUUUAAGGAUUAAGGUUCAGUGAUUAUUAUAAGUUAAAAAGUUUAUCGUAUAUAGUUUAGGGUUUUAGGGUUAAUCAUUACAUAAUGUUUAAUAUUUUGUGAAUAUUAGAGUAUUGAGUUUAGGGUUUAUGAUGUGGGUUAUGGUGUUUUGGGUUUAGGGUUUAGGAGUUUGGGGUUUAAGAUUUGGGGUUUGGGGUUUAGACUGCUUUAGUCAUGUUAAGAGGUUAAUUACUGCUUUAGGGGUUUAUGCUUGUGGUUAACGGUUUGCAGUUUAUAAUUUAACGUUUACAAUGCAUGGUUUUGGGGUUUGGGCGAUUUAGGGUUUAAUGACUUUUUUGGUACCAAUUUGAAAAAAAUGACAAAUACAUAUUGUUUUUUAAUUAUUAUUAUGAUACUAUAGUUCUAAGUGACACAAAUGACUAGUUUACUAAUUAAUGACGAAUGACAUAUUUAUAUGUUAUAUAUGAUGAAACAAAUUAUUUUAAUAUUGUGUUAUUUACAUAUAUAUAUUAAUCAUUGAUAUAUUCACUUAAAAAUAGAGAAUAUUUAAUUUUAAAAUUAUAAUACAUUAAUUGAAUAAUAUAAAUAAUUAAUAAUUUAUAAUUUUAAAUAUUGAUAAUAUUUAAAUUAUACAGAUUUAUUUUUAAAAUUUAUAAAAUUUUAACAAUUGAAAUUAAUAAAUCUGUAUAAAAUUUUUAAAUAAUAUUAUUAAUUAUAUUAAUAAUGUCAUAAUUUUAAUGUAUGAAUUAAAAAUAAUGUCUACAACAAUGUAAAUAAUUUAUAAAAAGCUAAAUAUUAGCGGCGUUUGUUAAUAAAACGCCACAAAAAUAUAUAAAAAAUGAAGUAGUACGACACCGUUUCGUUGACGAAUUGCAGGUUAGUGGCGUUUUUUUGUGAAACGCCGCAAAAGUUGUGAAAGUAGUGGCGUUUAUGCGUAAGUGCCACAAACAUUAUAAUAUAAAACGAUGCCGUUUUCAUAGCAAUGAUCGAUUAAGGUUUCAGAAUGCGGAGCCGUUUCAGUGUUGGCAAAAAUUUUAUAGUGGCGUGUUUGAAGGGAAACGCCGCAAUAGUUAAUUAAAUUUCCGGAUUCGGCGCCGUUUCUGUUCUGGAAAAUAAUUUAAUAGUGGCUGUCGAAACCAUUUUUUGAAAACAAAAAUAAGUUAUCGACUUUAAAAACAAAAACUGGAGUCACCACCGAUCCUUUAUUAAGGUGUGAUCGGCUCACCUUAAAAACGAUUCUGUCUACGAAAUUUGAGAGAACGAGUUCGGGAGUCAGUUACACGCGAGGAAGGGUUAGCACCCUCGUAACGCCCAAAAUCGGUACCAAAUUGAUUAUUUAAUAUCUUGGUGUCGAAAAAAAAAAGAUUUUGUUAAACUCAAAUUUUGAAAUCUGAAAAGGAUAAUCAAUUAUUCAAGUCAUGCGAAGAAAUUGAGACCCAAUACGUUAGGGUACAAUUUCUCAAUAUCCCCGAAUUUUGAAUAUCGCUUUUUAAUUAAUUUUUUAAAGAAAAUCUUCAUUUCGAGAAAGCAAUAUGUCAUGCCCAAUGCGUUAGGACAUAACAUAUUGAAUUCCCGAAAAUGAUUUUUGUUUAUAUAUUUUAAAUAACGAAUAUUCUCGGUUAUUUGGAAUUAACAAAGAAAAUCGGAACCCAAUACGUUAGGGCUCAAUUUUCCUCGAAAAUCCCUAACUUUGAAUAUCGUUUUUAUUUUGAAAAUCUUUGAAUCAUAAAAAUAAUUUUAAUGUUUUGACAAAAUCAAAAUGUAUUUAAAAAAAUGUAUUAAAAAUGUCAAUGCAAUAUGGAACAAAUAUUUUAAUUUAAAUUAUGUGUAUACAUAAGCAUAAUGUAUAAACGAAUUUUGCAAAUAUGUACAUGGAUAUGAGAGAAAAAUGCAUAAAUCAUAAAAAUAAAACAAUGAUAAAAUACAUAUAAAAUAUAUUAAUAUAUUUUAAAAAAAUGUAUAAGUAUAAUGUAUUUAAAAAAAUGGAAAAUAUUUAUAAUAAACCUUGAAAAGAAUGCAAAAAUAUAUGUACAUGUUAUAAAAAUGUAUGAACAUAUAAAUUUUAAAACAUGAAAAUAUAAAUAUUAUAAAAAUAUGAAUGUAUAUAAAAUAUAUAUAAACUAUAAAUAUAAAAUGAUAUGAUAAUAAAAUAUAUACGUACUACAUAUAUAUUUAAAGCAUUUAGAAUAUACACAUAUUUACAUAUAUAUGCACAAAUAUAUACGUGCAAUAAUAAUAAUAUAGUAAUAAUUAUACUAAUGAAUAAUAUAAACAAUAUAAAAAAAAACCUAAAAGAAACAAAUUAAGGACUAAAUUUAAAAGCCAAACAGAAUUUAUGAGCCGAAUUUGAAAAUAAAAACAAGAAAGGGAGUGAACUAAAACAGGUGCAAUAGAUAAGGGACCAAAAGAGAAAUUUUCCAACCCGCCCUAAAACACUGCACACUAUUGGAUUAAAUUAAAACAUUAAUAGUAUUUCAUGGGAAAAUUUCAAAAUAAGAAAAACUAAUUUUUAAAACCAUAAAAUAUAAAGGGGCCUAAACUAUAAAUAACCCAUCAACUUAAAACCAAAUAAAAUCCUCCUUUUUAAACCCUAAAACUCAUUUUCUUUCUUUCUUUGAUAUUGCCGUCUUGCUCUCCCUCUGAAAGCUCUUUCCCUGCUCCAAUGGUGACGAAAUAAAGGAGCUUCAACGACGCCACGCCGGUAAAUUUCCUUAACUCCCUUUCUUUAUUUUUUAGAAACGAAAGCAAAACAAAAAAAUAAAAUGAAAAUAGUAAAAGAACAAAAGGGAAAAAAACAAGAAGCCGUCACCUUCAAAAUCUAUUUAUUCUUUUCUUGUAUUUUCUUUUUUCGUAUUUUCUUUAACUUUUUCAUACAAUAUUUUUGCCCCCUCCUUAACAGAUUCGAUUGGCUUUUAUAUAGCCUUUACUCAAAAAAACCUUUACAAUUGUUUUGCUGCGUGUAUAUCUUGUUGUUCGUGGUUCGUUUGUAGAACGAACGUGCAUAGUAGACGCAAGGGAUCGUUGAUCAUGGGUGAUUGCGUCGUGGGGUGAUGGAACCGUUGCUGAACGUGGGCAAGGUGCGACGUGGGGCGAUGGGCAGUUGCUGCGGUGGCUGAGAUGCUGCUAACUGCUAGGGUUGCUACUAUCCUUUGAAAAUUUUUACUUUGGGCCACACUGUAAUUGGGCUAAGAUUUAGGGUCAAUGAUUUGGAUUUAAUUGAUUUUUAAUCAGGCCAAAAUUGGCCUAUUACAGCUGCCCCUCUUUGAUUAUUAUCGUGUAACGAGAAUGGAGCAAAGACUUUAGAAAUGGCCAAUUUUGCCUGGUCGUGCUGGACCUCAAGGCCCUUUUCUUCAAAGAGCUUCAUUCCAUCCUACUGCAACGUCAGAGGUAUAGGAACUAGAGCUUCGAUCCACUCCACUACAACAUCAAGGUGAUAGGAUUUGGGUCUUCAGUUUGCUCGAAAGAAUAAAAUUUGCUAUCUCAAGUCCACUUCACUGCACCGCCAGGGAAGUAAGAUCUGCCGUUGUGGCUUCAAUCUUUUAAAUUGCUCUGUUAGGGAAACCAGAUCCGCCGUGGUGACUUCAAUUUGCUCCACUACAUCACCAAGGAAAUAAGAUCCGUCGUCGUGACUUCAAUCUUUUUCACUGUAAUGCCAAAGAGAUAGGAUUCACUGCCCACAGCUUCAAUCCGCUCAAAUUCAACUAAUCCAAGCUUUAACACCAGGGAGAUAAGAUCCGCCGUCGUGGCUUCAAUCUGUUCCUCUGCGACGCCAGAAAAAUAAGAUCCGCCCUUGUAGCUUCAAUCUAUUUCAUUGCUACGUCAAGGCGAUAAGACUAGUCUUCGAUCUGCUUCGCUGCCAGUAUAGGAAGGCAAGAUCUACCAUUUUCGACCUACUCAGCUGCUGCCCAGGGAGACAAGGCUGGUAUCUUCGAUCUGCUUCGCUGUCAAUACAGGAAGGCAAGGUCCGCUAUCUUCAGUCUGCUCUGCUGUAAACUCAGGGAGGCAAGGCUGGUGUCUUUGAUCUGCUUCGUUGUCAGUACAAGAAGGCAAGAUCUGCUAUCUUCAGUCUGCUCCGCUGUAAACCCAGGGAGGCAAGGCUGGUGUCUUUGAUCUGCUUCGUUGUCAGUACAAGAAGGCAAGAUCUGCUAUAUUCAGUCUGCUCCGCUGCAAACUCAGGAAGGCAAGGCUGAAGUUACACCGGUUUGUCCUUUGAGGAACAUGACCUAUAUAAUUCAACUUAUGAACCUAAUUAUGCCUAAUGAUUAGGAUAUCAUGAUCAGAAUGAAUCACAUGCUCCUAACUAGACAUGUAUGAAUGACAUUUGAAUGGAUGUAAAAUGUCAUUUUAUUAAGAAUGAUCCUUUUUAUCACCUAGAUUGUCAUUACUCAAAAUUUAUUAAGGCUUUAUCAACGACGUUCUACAACUCCUUCUUGCUUGGCUAGCAUCUCCAAAAGCGCUUAAUCCAGUUGCCCCCACUGUAAACUUCCAAGUUCAAUCCACUGAGACGCAAAAUUUGUACCAUCUUUCUCUCAUUGUAACCCAAGGAUAGAAAAAUCUGGCCUUUUCUCAAUCCUCCAUUAUCACAAUGCAAGGACGCAGAAUGUAAAGCUCCUCUAUCACUUUCACCAUUUUUAGGGAGUCAUACCAAAUGCACAUGCACAAAUGAAGAAUAUUCUUCCUCCGAGGAAACCUCCUCUUAUUGCAAGGUGAUCAUAGCUUGUUUGUUCAUUGACACUUUGUCACCAACACGACAUCUUGUCAUUUUGUUUAAUCAAUGCUUUUGACAACAAAAUCCAAAGAGAUAGUCUUAAUUUAGACUCUUCCUUCUCAGAUUUCCCACCUUUAAACCAGGUGUGUUCUAAAUAAUAGUCCUGUUUCAGGUUCCCGUAUUAUUUAGAAACUUCUAGAGUAAUAUGCAAAACUUCCAUUGUGAAAGUUUUAUUAGUCCAUUGAUCAUUAUUCUAAUGCAACACGUUUGCAAAAAAGAACAAAAUGACGGGUAAGAUAGAAUUGAUUUGAGAGCAUAGCUUGCAAUGAAUAAAUUAUCAAGAAUAUUGAGAAUAAAAGAGAAAUUGACUUGUAUCUUGAAAAAGAAUGAAGUAUUCCAAGAAUAAGAAAAUAUAAACAGUAUAAUGACUAGGUGCCCCAGAUAUCGCAGCUUGAACUUCUCUGUACAAACUUUCUAAAGACCAUUCUGAGUUUGACGUGUGUUUAGGAGAUCUACAGUACUCUGUCGAUACCCCAAGAAGUCACGUACCCCUUCCUGCUGAUUCAAGCAUAGCAAGAUCACCGCAUGCCCCAUUCUAACCAAAAUUCGAGCCGCCCUUUUCGGGUUUUCAACUCAAAUCCCCUUUGGUCUAAGGCGCCCUUUACGGGUUUUCACCCUAGCCUCUCCACUUUUACUUUUUCAUUUUCACUUUUCAUUUUUUCGUCAUUUUACAUUUUUUUACGACUCAAAGUGCCAUUUGCAGGUUUUUACCUUGAUCCUCUCCUUCUUUAAGCGAAGUAUUUCUUGACUAAAUCUGAGUUUACAGGAUUAGACAAGUUUUGUACUAUCCAUCUCACCCAAUAUCAGUGCUCCCGGAACAUAUCUUCUUUACAACAUAAGGACUUUCCCAAUUUGGCACUCAUUUUUCUCUAACAUCCUUUUGUAGAUGAAGGAUCUUUUUCAAUACCAGGUCUCCUUCGUGGAAUUCUCUAGGACUAACCUUUUUGUUGUAAGCUUGCAUUAUCUAUUUUUGGUACAUCUGAUCGUGACGAAUAACUUUUAGCCAAUUUCCUUCAAUUAAGUUCAACUGAUCUUAUCAAGAUUGGAUCUUCAUCCUACUUCAGCUCAGCCAAUACCCGAAGAGAAAGAAUUUUAACUUCAAUGGAAAAAUCGUGAUAAGCUAAAGAGAAAGACAUUGCCUCGGUAGAGGUUUUUUUGUUUCUUUUUAUUUUUUGUUCUUUUUUGUUCUCUUUUUUUUCUUUUUUCUAUAUAUUUUUUUGUUCUUCUUUUUUUUUGCAUUGAAUUUGCACUCAUAGUAUUAGGCAAGUCCUGGUCAUCUUUUUCAAUCAGAAUCAAUAUUAUUCCAGAUAAGGUCUUCCUUAUAAGAUCUUCCACUUCAAUUAGGAUGAAAUCCAACAAGAAUACAGAAAAAUGACAACUUGACUUCAACGGGAUAAGCCAGAGAAGAAGGCAUUGCCCCGACAAAGAAUUCUAACUGCAUUGUUCAUGAUAUGAAUCUUGAACAUACUGCAAAUUUUUAACGUUGUGCUAUUGCUCAAAUUACAAUAUCAGUGCUUAACCUGGGCAUAUCCUGGUAUAACUAUAUGAAGACAUCUUUAAACUCUUGAAGUAACUUAACAAGGUCUUGCUUUGUUGCUCCGGUUAUGCAUGUUCCCUCAAGGUUACAAUCUCCAUUGUCUCUUCAAGAGGUAAAAUUUGUUUCUCUUCUUGCUCUACCAUCCUCAACAAGUCUGGAGGUAGACUACGAUCUAUGUCAUCUUCAAAGUCAUGAGAUCCUUCUAAACACAUGUCUUGCUCAAAAGGAGAUUCUAAAUCUGUGGCAGUGUCAUUCAAGUCAUUGAUAUCUGGGGGCCCAUAAUAAAUACCAAAGAAUAUACAAAAGAAUGUAUAAAUUUAUGAAGAACUAUUUGUACAAUAUAAUUAUGAAUGAAUGAAUAAUGUGGAAGAAAAUCCAAAAGAAUGAAAGAAUUUAGAAUUAUUCGAAAAGAAUGAAAGAAUAUUGGCUCAAAAAUGAAUGCAAAGAUGUAUUCAUAAAAUAAUGACGUUCAAAGAUGAGCCUAUUUCACAAUGGGAUUCUUAUUGCCUCUAGGCUAAAAGCAACAAGUGUGUUUUGAACAUUACUCUAAGUAAGUUCUAAAUACCACAGAGAUUUCUUUUGCAGUCCAAUUAAUUAAAACACUCCCAAAUUUACAAAGGUGAAUAUCUAACAAGGUCUCUUCUUUAGUUGUGUCUCCAUGUAUGGCAUUGAUGUGAACGUUUCCUACCACUUCUUCAUACAUCACAUUUACCCCAUUAUCAAAUGUGAUUAGGUAGCGGAUUUUCUGCACUAGAUGAAUCGUCAAAUUUGACAACGCCCAUACUGAUAAGCCUUUCAACCACUUUUUAAAGGCAAUGCAAUUUUCUAUAGAAUGCCCUGUAAUUCCUGCAUGAUAAUCGCAUUGUGCACUUGCAUCGUACCAUUUAGGGUACGGAGGUUGUGGGGGCUUUGAGUAGAAAGGGGAAACAACGUGCGCAUCGAAUAAGCUUUGAUACAGCUCCUUAUACGACAUUGGAAUUGGCGUGAACUGGAGUUUCUCAGUACCUUGCUUCACACUUGAUUCUUGUCUUGAUGAACCCUGCUGAUUAGCAACCACCUUUCUUGGCUGAUUCACCGUAAUCGAUUUGCUGUAUGUAUUCACGCUGUUCACCUCAUCUUCUUUUUCCUUUGGGGCUUGCCUUCUGUUAUUUCCUCCAGCAUCAAUCUUUCCACUCCUAAUAGCACUCUCAAUCAUCUCACCACUCAUGACUAUAUCAGUAAAAUUUUUUGUGGCACUGCCUAGCAUGUGUGUGAUGAAAGGGACCUUUAGCGUAUUUACAAAAAGCAUCGUCAUUUCUCUUUCAAGAAGAGGUGGCUGGACCUGCACUGCCACCUCUCUCCAUCUCUGAGCAUAUUGUCUAAAACCUUCAUUCAACUUUUUCUCCAUAUUCUAUAAAGUGAUCCUAUCAGGAACCAUUUCUGCACAUGACCGUACUGCUUCAUAAAAGCCUGUGCUAAAUCCCUCCAGGAGCUAAUCUUAGCACGGCUUAAUUGAUUAUACCAUUUACACGCUGCCCCCGCGAGGCUAUCCUGAAAACAGUGUAUCAAUAACUGGUCGUUAUUGACAUACCCAGUCAUUCGCCAACAAAACAUAGUAAUGUGGGCUUCAGGGCAAGUGUCAUGGUAUAUAGUUUUCUUUCUAUAUCCAUCGAUUCAUAUACAUUGCUUGUUGUGGAAUGAACAGGUUUUCAACGAUGCGAUUGAAGCUUUGAGGAUCUUAUACAGGAAGAUGAAUCCUUUUUGCGUACCGUUUGCUACAACAAAUAUGGGUUCUACAAUGCUUGCAAUGGAUUUGGUUAGCUUAAAUUUAGAUUCUGCAAUGUUAAGAUAGACCUUGAUGGAUGUUAAAAUUUCGAGUUUGAGCUUUAAACUGAUGAUUUCUUCAGGGAUGGAUGGGUCCUAAUUAUUCAAUCUAGGCUUUUAUAUGUAUAUUAUUUUUGCAUGACCUCUAUAUGCACCUGAACGAUGUAUAUGUACCUGAACGAUAAUAUUUUAUAUGAUAUUGAUAAUAUUAAGAAGUCCUAAUUGCAAUGACCUCUAUAUGCCUUAAGAGUAUGAUUUUUCAUUUGAGAAAAUGGUUAUGCUGUGUUUAUUUUACUUCAUUUCUAUCUUUUAAUGAGAAAGAAGGGGCCCUUGUUUUCAAUGUUGAGUGUUGAAAUAUAAGUCCAAUUAGCAUGGUUUUAAGUCCUAAGGUAGUCAGCAUUGAGUUAUUCUUAAUGUUUAGCAUGAUCUUCAUGUUUUGGCAUCUGUUGGGGUAUGCUUGAUUGAUUUCCCUUGAUAUAUGAUAUUGAUUGACUUUACAUUGGGUUUUAUUAUGAAUUAGGGAUACACUAGUUUACAUGUAGAGAAUGCUGUCUUUGCUUUGUGUGACUGUUUUAUCUGUCACGUUUUUACUGUUAGUGCAUCUAGUUUCCAAGCAUAUAAUAACUUAAAGUAUUAUUUAGUAUUUAGUUAUUUGUAAGCUGUCUUUAAUUAUCUGUUAGUGAAGUAAGUACUCACUUUUUGCUUCAUUGACCAAGCUUUAACUGACCUAUAUCAAGUUGCGUUAUGUUUCUUGAGGAUUACUUCUUAGCUGUCUUUCCCGGUAGAACUUGCUAAAUGAUUGGCAAUAGAGAUUUCCUUUAACCGUCCAACCAUUUUUUGAUCGACCAGUUGUUGUAAUUACAACUUUCUUUUGGAUUUUACAAGUUCCCUACUAUCUUGACGAAGCUACAGGAUGGGGUUUGAAAGUAUCUGAGCUUAAGAAACAACUGCAGGAAGCCAAGUCUAAUGGCAUCACUGUUAGGGCCUUGGUUGUAAUAAAUCCAGGCAACCCAACAGGACAGGUAUCAAUGAAAUGCUUUCAGAAAAGUAUAUUAUAAAUGAAAAAGGUUCAUGCAAUUUCAUUUUUCUAUUAUUUCAUUUACGGAAUGUGAAUGAGCUUAUACAAAGUUUGGAAUUUUGACACAGAAUAUAAACUCUUUUACUGUCUCCAGGGUAUUAUGGAGAGUGUGGAAAAAGGGGAGGUUACAUGGAGGUUACUGGGUUUGGUGCUGAUGUGAGGGAGCAUAUAUACAAAUUAGCAUCUGUGAAUGUGUGUUCUAACAUCACUGGUCAAAUUCUUGCUAGUCUUGUAAUGAGUCCACCUAAGGUUAUAUCUUUUGCCAUUUAAAGCCAGUUAUCUGUUUGUAUUCAAAUGACAUUGGAUGUAUGACAUAGGACUAAAUAGAUUUUGAGCUUUGACAAGCUGCUUAUAAGCAUUGUUUCUUAUAGAAGAAACACAUUAUUGGAGAAAGCUUUUGAAUCUCCCAACUAUUGGAUUUGGGUUUCUUUUUGACAAUUUGUUUAUUGUGCUUUUGUUUAGAUGAUGAGAAAGGAAAGUCAAGAAUUAUAUUUACUCGUUAAGUUAAAUGAAGAUAUUUGUAAUUUAAAAAAAUAAAAAUUCAAUAUAAAUUUAAAAUAAGAGUUUAACUAAAAAAUAAGAGUUAGUGACAAAAAUUAAUAAAAUUUAAAUUUUAGUGGUAAAAUUCAAUAACAUAAAAAUUAAGUUACAAAUUUACUCAUAUUUUUUUAAAAAAUAACGGCAAAUAUAAAUAAAAAUAAAGUACAGUGACAAAUUUCAAUAUUUAUCUAUAGUAUGAUGAUAAUUUCGCACUUUAAUAUUUUUUAAGAAAACAAUAUUUGAAUUUUUUAGAAUGGUACGGUAAAAAAAAUUUAAAACAUAAUUAUUGUGCCAGCUAUUUUAAAAUUUUUACCAAACACAAUUUUUAAAAUUUUUAGAUAAUUUGGUAAGAAAUUAACUGUAUUCCAAUUAUUAAAUAAUAUGGUAAUUUAAAAUAAUUUUAGUACAAGAUCAUAUAUAUCUAAUAUAAUUAAUCGUCAUUAAUUUGAAUUUAUAUUAAAUAAGUAAUUGAAAAUAUAUAUUUUAUUAAAUUAUAUUUAAUAAUAAUUAUGUUAAAUUAUAUUUCAUAGUAUUAUAUAUUAUGAUUUUAGAAAAUUCAUAUAAGAAUAUUUAAUAUUAAGAAUUUUAUUAAAUUAUAUAUUUUAAUUAAAAUAUAUUUAAUAGUAAUUAUGUUAAUUUAUAUUUUACAGUAUCAUAUAUUAUGAUUUCAGUAAAUUAAUAUAAGAAUAUUAAUUAUUAAGAAUUUUAUUAAAUUAUAUAUUUUAAUUAAAAUAUAUUUAAUAAAAAUUAUGUUUAAAUAUGAUUAAAUUAUUUAUUAUUGAUAAUAAUAAUCUUAUUAUAAUUUAAAUAACAAUAACAAUAAUCAUUUACCAAAACAAAUUUAUGCUAAGGGUAUUCUAGUCAUUUUAGUUUUUUCCAUUAUGCUAUUACACCUCUAUUACAUUCAACCAAACACAAGAUUACUAUUACGCCUCUAUUCCAUUACAUUCAACCAAACAGUUGAUUUGCUAUUACACCUCUAAUCCAAUACACCUUUAAUCCAAUACACCUCUAAUCCAAUACACCUCUAAUCCAAUACAGCGAACCAAACGCACCCUCAUUUUCUUUCUUUCUUUGAUAUUGCCGUCUUGCUCUCUCUCUGAAAGCUCUUUCCCUGCUCCAAUGGUGACGAAAUAAAGGAGCUUCAACGACGCCACGUCGGUAAAUUUCCUUAACUCCCUUUCUUUAUUUUUUAGAAACGAAAGCAAAACAAAAAAAUAAAAUGAAAAUAGUAAAAGAACAAAAGGGAAAAAAACAAGAAGCCGUCACCUUCAAAAUUUGUUUAUUCUUUUCUUGUAUUUUCUUUUUUCGUAUUUUCUUUAACUUUUUCAUACAAUAUUUUUGCCCCCCUCCUUAACAGAUUCGAUUGGCUUUUAUAUAGCCUUUACUCAAAAAAACCUUUACAAUUGUUUUGCUGCGUGUAUAUCUUGCUGUUCGUGGUUCGUUUGUAGAACGAACAUGCAUAGUAGACGCAAGGGAUCGUUGAUCAUGGGUGAUUGCGUCGUGAGGUGAUGGAACCGUUGCUGAACAUGGGCAAGGUGCGACGUGGGGCGAUGGGCAGUUGCUGCGGUGGCUGAGAUGCUGCUAACUGCUAGGGUUGCUACUAUCCUUUAAAAAUUUUUACUUUGGGCCACACUGUAAUUGGGCUAAGAUUUAGGGUCAAUGAUUUGGAUUUAAUUGAUUUUUAAUCAGGCCAAAAUUGGCCUAUUACAGUGGCGUUUUGUUAUAAAGCGCCGCAAUUAUAUAUAAACUUCGCCAAUGCGGCGUCGUUUGUGAGCUUCAUAAAAUCCAAUAGUGGCGUUUAUUAUAAAAACGCCAGAAAAUGCAACGUAAAACGUUGCCGUUUCGCUUACUGAAAACAAUUUUGGGGUAUACCCCCGAAGCAAUCUUCCCCCAGCCCCAAAUUCGUCGCCCCCAAAUCCCUAAAUCGCCUUCUCUCUGUGAAAUUCUUGCGUCCUUCUUGCCCAAUUUCUUGAAUUCCCAAAUCCGUAAAUCGCCUCAUUCUUGCCGAAUUUCUUGAAAUCCGAAAUCCCUAAAUCGCCUCAUUCCUCCUUCUAGAGAAGACGAACGUCGCACAAUAGGCCUUCAAAGGUUCGAUUUUGUUCCGAUUCUGCGUAUGUAAUCUUUGGGUUUUGACUUGUUUAUUAAAUUUAUUUUGUUUUUUAUUCGUCAAAUUUAUUUUGAUGUUCCUUACUUUAAAAAAUUUCUCUUCUUUGAUCUGUAUAAGGUUUUCGUUCGUUUCAGUUCAUCGUCCUACAGGUACUGUACUUGUUUGUUUUUACUUCUAUUUGGGAAUGGUUUCAUUAUUGGGUAUGCAACUGAUGUUAUGUUGUUUCAGUGAUAGUUUUUAGGUUUAUUUCAUUUCGCUGUUGACAGUGGUUUUCCUCAUCGUCCUGCAGGUACACUAAUUUUCUUUAUGUUUGAAAUUGUUUUUCUCGAAAUGGUUUCUGUGGGUGUCUUCAUUUCAUUUCAUUUAACUGGUUUUAGGCAACGUUUCACAUACCAUUGUUGUUGUCUGUCGAUGUGUUACUAUUUUUCUGCAUUUUUUAGGCAUACUGGUCUGUUACUAUUUUCUAUCGAUGUCAUAAUUUGUAGAAAUCUUAAAGUAUGCAAAAACAUGAAGUAUCUAGCAACAGAGCCUGGAUUUAAUCUAUUUUAUUUUUAUUAAAUUAUUACAUGUACUUAGGUUAAAUAAAUUUUUAGUAUAAUGUGUGAUAAGAUACAGAAAUUGAAGCUAAAAUUGGUAAUUUAGAAUUGCCGAAAUUAACAGAUCAAGAAAUUAAGUAUGUCAUGAGAUUUGAAUUGCUUGAAAAUGUUGUCAUGUUAAGAUUUGUUUGAGUAUUUACAUAUGGUAAAUGUUGUGAAUGGAUUACUAUGAAAUGAGCCUUUGUAUUGAAUGGUAAUGAUGUAUGGUAUUUGUACAGUUAUGAAUAAAGUAGUACUGCUUACAAUUGAAUUUGUUAAGAACAUAUUUGGCCAGAAAUGUGGUAUAAAAAUGUGAAUAGGCUGAUUAUGUAUUUGCAGGUUGGUAUCGAAAAUUUGGUCUUUUGGGGCUCCGAUUUUGUAUACAUUUUUUUGCUGGUUUUCCUUUCAAAUAUUGGAUGAUUUUACUUACUUAAAAUUGCCAUCUAAUUUUCUGCCUUAUAUUUUCUGCUAUAAUCUGGCAUCCAGUUUGCCAUGUUUUGGUAUUAAAUUAUUUUGGUCCUUCACAAAUCAAAGACGGUAUAUUAAUGUUUAGGGACUAAUUGAUGAUACUUUGUCUAAAGGAAUCUAAAUAUGUUCUCAUGUGUCCUGCCAUCACCAUUGUCGUUAAUUAUAGCAUAAGUUACUGCAUAGGAUUCUAAGGACCCAAAUAUAAUACAGCUCGUAAAUUACAUAAUUAGAUAAAAUUGAAAGUAUCCUUUUUGAAUCUACUUUCUUCUCACAUUUAACUUUCAUUAAUAAAUAAUUAAAUCUUCUUCCAUUUCUCAAGUAAUUCAUUUCCAAAAUCCCAUUUGAAAUGUGUAAAUAUUAUUAACAUAGAUAAAUAAGUUGGUCCAAACUAUACAAAUAUUUAUAUGUUUUCCUUUUUCAUUAUCUUUUUAUUUUAAUUUUAUGUUAUUUUAAUCACGAAAAAUAUAUUUUGUUUUAUUCUGUUUUAUUUUUAAUUUACCUAAUUAAAUAAAUUGUAUUUAAAGUUAUAUUUUAAAUAUUUUAUUUUAUUUUAAUCACGAAUUUUUUUAAAUAUUUUAUUUUAUUUGAAUCACGAAUAUUUUUAAAUAUUAAAAUUUUUAAGUUCAAAUUUCAUAACUUACGUAAUUUACAUAUCUUACAUAAUUCAUAACUUACGUAAUUUAAAUUUAUAAUACAUAACUUACAUAACUUAUUAAUAUUUAUAUAUAGUUUUUAUAUAUAUAUUUAAAUUUUAUAUUUUUUUAAAAAAAUUGAUACAUUACAUAACUUACAUAACCUACAUACAUAAGCUUACAUAUAAUACAUAACUUAUAUAACUUAAAUUUAGCAAUCAUAUCAUAACUUACAUACAUAAUUAGUAAUCAUAUCACAACUUACAUAACCAACAUAAUGACUUACAUAAUAACCUACAUAAUAACUUAUAUAAUAAUACAUAAUAAUACAUAACAUACAUAAAUUAAAUAAGUUACAUAAUACACAAAAACAAAAACUUACAUAACUUACAUAAUAUCCUACAUCCCUACUUACAUAAUAAUACAUACCGUACAUAAAUUAAAUAAGUUACAUAAUACACAAAAACAAAAACUUACAUAACUUACAUAAUAUCCUACAUCCCUACUUACAUAAUAAUACAUACCGUACAUAAAUUAAAUAAGUUACAUAAUACACAAAAACAAAAACUUACAUAACUUACAUAAUAUCCUACAUCCCUACUUACAUAAUAAUACAUACCGUACAUAAGUUACAUAAUAAACAAAAACAAAAACUUACAUAACUUACAUAAUAACUUACAUAAUAACUUACAUAAUAAUGCAUACCCUACAUAAAUUAAAUAAGUUACAUAAUACACAAUAAGGUUAAAAACAUAGUGUAACUUACAUAAUAAUACAUACUCUACAUAAUAAUACAUAACUUACAUAAGACAUAACUUACAUAAGUUUCAUAAUACACAACUUACACAACUUACACAACUUACAUAACUUACAUAACUUACAUAAUACAUAACUUAUUCCUAAAUCCUAAACCCGUGCAAUUUAUUGUCAAUGUCAGACUUCAAGAAUUAAGAAAUGGACCGUUCUUGGAUGAAUUUGUCAAGAGUUAGUGACGAUUAUCGAAAUGGAGUGCAGAGUUUUCUAAAUUUUGCAUUUCAAUAUGCAAGCCAGGAGAACAUGAUUUUUUGCCCGUGUAAGAAGUGUGUCAACAUAAACUGGCAUUAUCGUGAGGUUGUAUACGAGCAUCUAAUUGUUGAUGGGUUUGUUCGGGGUUAUAAACAAUGGUUAUUUCAUGGACAAUGCCCGCCUAGUACUUCCUCUUCAACGAUGGAUGUAUCUUACUCUGGUCCUGCUUACCAUCAGUCUGAUAGAGGGGAUGACGUGGAAGGUAUGUUGCGGGAUGCAUUUAAUAUGCACAAUCAUGGUGUCCAGUCGUUCCCAGCGGACUUUGUGGCUUCUGAUGAUUGUAAUAUUGGGAGAAAUGCUUUUACCGAACCGGGAAGUAGUGUACCUCAUGAAGAGCCGAAUGAAGAAGCGGUGAAGUUCUACACGCUACUUAAUGACAUGAACGAAGAACUGUAUGAGGGAUCAAAAUUUUCAAAAAUGUCUUUCUCUAUUCGUCUUUUUCAGUUAAAAUGUUUGGGAGGGUGGACCCGAAACUCGUUGACAAUGCUGUUAGAGUUUUUAAAAGAAAUGUUUCCGUUUGUAAAAAUCCCUCAGUCAUGCAAAGAUAUGAAGAAAAUGAUAAAAGAUUUAGGCAUUGGGUACAACAAAAUCCAUAGUUGCCCAAAUGACUGUAUGUUGUAUUGGGGCGAUCGAAAUGACCAACAGUGCUGUCAUGUAUGCGGCCAAUCCCGAUGGAUUAGUAGAAACACAGAAGAUGGGAAGGACGAUGAAAAUGGUGCACAGUCGAGAAAGAAGCCAGUUAAGAUUUUACGGUAUUUUCCCCUGAUACCAAGGCUUCAAAGGCUAUUCAUGUCGUCCAAGACAGCGGAGUCAAUGACGUGGCACCAUGAUGAACGAACCGAUGAUGGAUUACUAAGGCAUCUGGCAGAUUCUUUGGCUUGGAAAUCAUUUGACAAUAAAUUUCCAGGCUUUGCAAGUGAUCCUAGGAGUGUGAGACUUGGGCUAGCAUUGAUGGAUUUAAUCCUUUCAAGAUCAUGAGCACUGCGUACAGUACUUGGCCAGUAGUGCUUGUUCCUUAUAAUCUGCCUCCGUGGAUUUGCAUGAAGCAAUCUUCCUUUAUCUUAUCUAUGAUAUCGACAUUUAUUUACAGCCACUUAUUGAAGAGUUAAAACAAUUAUAGGCUGGUGUCGAGACAUACGAUGUGGUGAGAAAGGAGAACUUUAAUUUACGUGCGGCUUUAAUGUAGACCAUUAAUGACUUUCCCGCUUAUGCCAAUUUAUCCGGUUGGAGUACCAAGGGUCGUUAUGCGUGUCCUUGUUGUGCUGCACAAACAUGUUCGCAAUGGUUGUAUAAUGGGAAGAAGUUUUCUUACAUGGGGCAUCGUCGGUGGUUACCAAAAAAUCAUAGAUUUAGAUUUCAGAGUUCUGUAUUUGACGGCACUGAAGAAUUCAGAGAAGGUCCAUCCCAGACCAGUGGCUCUGAAAUCUUGUUCAUGUUGGAAGAUAUGAAUUUCAUUUAUGGGAAGAUGAACCAACCGCCAAACAUGCAGAGAAACAGAAGAUCAAAUGAUGAAGGGGAUGAAAGCUCCGACGAAGAGGACGAUCCUAAUGAGGCGGACUUGUGGAAAAAAAGAAGUAUUUUUUUUAGUUGCCUUAUUGGGAGCAUCACCUUUUAUGACACAAUCUUGAUGUUAUGCACAUUGAGAAAAAUGUCUGCGAGAACAUUGUGGGUACAAUUUUGAACGUCGACGGAAAAUCAAAAGACAAUCUUCAGAGUCGACUUGAUUUAGUCCAAAUGGGAAUUCGGCCUGAUCUUCAUCCCAAUCUACUUCCGAAUGGGAAAUAUCGGUUGCCGCCUUCUAUUUUCUCAAUGUCCAAGACGGAGAAACACUACACCAAAACAGGCUUUUAGCGGCAUUUUUAGCGGCGUUUGGACAAAAAAUGCCACUAAAAAUCAAGCAUUAGCGGCGCUUUUGGGAAAACGCUGCUAAAAAUAAACAUUAGCAGCGUUUUUUGAAAAGCACCGCAAAAAGCCUAAGCCAAACGACAUCGUUUUCUGAGUUUUUGGGGCCUUUAGCGGCGUUUUUAAAGAAGCGCCGCUAAUGCUCGAGCCUUUAGCGGCGUUUUUAAAGAAGCGCCGCUAAUACUAGGGGCUUUAGCGGCGUUUUUGGGAAAAGCGCCGCUAAAAACAUUUUAUCUUAAUUGGUUUAUUUAUAUUAAUUAAAUAAAAUUCAAUUUAUUUCUAAUUGAAUAUUUUAAAUCUUCAUAAAAAAAUAAUGACAGAUAGAAAUAAUUUGAAAUAAAGCACAUGGAAAAAUUAAAAUACUAUUAUUUAAAAUAAUUUUAAAGUUUUUUGGGUACAUGAUUACUGAUUGUUUUUAAUUUAUAUAUUAAAAAUUUUCUUAUAUAAUUGUAAAAGAGAUAGUAUUAAUUUUAAAAUAUUGAAUUAAUUAUCACUAUAGUUUAGGGUUUUUGGUUUAGGCUAUAUGAUUUAUUUAAGAUUUAAGGCCAGUUUAGGAGUUACUAUUUUAAGGUUUAGGGAGUAUGGGUUUAGGGAUUAUGGUUUAAGGGUUGAGAUUUAAGGUUUAGAGGUUAGAGGGUUUAGGGUUUAGGGGUAAGAGGGUUAGCGGUUUAGAGGUUAAACGUUAGGGGUUAAGAAAGUUAGGGAUUUAAGGUUUAGGGAUUCAAAGGUCGAGUUAGGAUUUUGGGCGUUUAGAUUAAUUUUUUAAAUUUAUAUUUUAAAUAUGUUCUUAUAUAAUUGUAAAAGAGAUAAUAAUAAAUUUGUUUAGGGUUUUUGGUUUAGGGUAUAUGAUUUAUUUAAGAUUUAAGGUCAAUUUAAGAGUUCAUAUUUUAAGGUUUAGAGAGUAUGGAUUUAGGGAUUAUGGAUUAGGGAUUAUGAUUUAAGGGUUGAGAUUUAAGGUUUAAGGGUUAGAUGGUUAGGGGUUUAGGGGUUAGACAUGUUAUGGGUUAAAAGUUAGGGAUUCAGGGGUCGGGUUAGGGUUUUGGGUUUAGAUUAAUUAUUUUUUAAUUUAUAUUUUAAAUAUGUUCUUAUAUGAUUGUAAAAGAGAUAAUAAUAAAUUUGUUUAGGGUUUUAAGUUUAGGGUAUAUGAUUAAUUUAAGAUUUAAAACCGGUUUAGGAGCUCAUAUUUUAAGGAUUAGGGAGUAUGGAUCUAGGGAUUAUGGAUUAGGGAUUAUGGUUUAAGGGUUGGGAUUUAAACUUUAGCGGUUAAGGGGUUAGGGGUUAGACGUUAGGGGUUAAGAGUUAGGGAUUUAAGGUUUAGGGAUUCAGGGGCCGAGUUAAGGUUUUGAGUUUAGAUUAAUUAUUUUUUUAAUUUAUAUUUUAAAUAUGUUCUUAUAUAAUUGUAAAAUAGAUAAUAAUAAAUCAAAUAUAUUGAAAUUAUGAACAUAGUUUAAAUUAUUUAAGAGAUAUAUAAUAGAUAGACUUUAUAUGUAUUGAAUGGUUAAUUUAGGGUGUAAGGUUAAGGUUUACUUGAGAUUUGUUAAUAGAUAUAUAAUGAUAUGGAUAUAUAGGUACUUAUUUAAUUUGGAUAAUUCUAACUUAAUAAUUAAUUACAACCAUUUUAUCAUUUGUUUUCUUAUUAAAAUACAUAAUAUUUAUUUUGAGAGUACUUGUUUUUUUUUUUAUAAAAAACCAAUUUAUAAAAAACAAAAUAAAAUUUUUUUAGCAUAGCAAAACGGCGUCAUUUUGUUCAAAAUGAAAUAAUCUUUUGUGGCGUUUUU